This 205-nucleotide non-coding RNA is filed under the name Micromonospora rifamycinica. Lineage: Bacteria; Bacillati; Actinomycetota; Actinomycetes; Micromonosporales; Micromonosporaceae. The record is from RNAcentral.
UAUCGUGACACCGCAGUCGGUCCGCCACGCCCACCAGGUGGCGGCGCAAGCGGGAACCCGGUGCGAGACCGGGACUGCCCCGCAGCAGUGAGUGGGAACGACCGCCGCCAUCAGCACUGGACCCACAGGGCCUGGGAAGCCACGGCCGGUAGGCCUGAGCACGACGCCCACGACUCCGAAGACCUGCCCACUGCCCACGUGCAUC